RNAcentral lists this ribosomal RNA (781 nucleotides) under uncultured archaeon. RNAcentral describes it as "bacterial SSU rRNA". It matches the Rfam family "Archaeal small subunit ribosomal RNA", at positions 553 to 1334 of the family's 1478-position model. The record is from RNAcentral.
UGCCGCUUAACGGUACGAAUUCCGAGUAGACUACUCAGCAUUGUCACCGGGAGAAGCCAGAGGUACUCCUGGGGUAGAGGUGAAAUUCUGUAAUCCUGGGGGGACCACCAGUGGCGAAGGCGUCUAGCUAGAACGGGUCUGACGGUGAGGGACGAAACCCUGGGGGCGCGAACCGGAUUAGAUACCCGGGUAGUCCAGGGCGCAAACGCUGCUUGCUUGAUGUUAGCUGGGCUCCGAGCUCAUUUUUUGUCGGAGAGAAGUUGUUAAGCAAGCUGCCUGGGAAGUACGAUCGCAAGAUUGAAACUUAAAGGAAUUGGCGGGGGAGCACAGCAACGGGUGGAGCGUGCGGUUUAAUUGGAUUCAACGCCGGAAAACUCACCGGAAGCGACGGUUACGUGAAGGCCAGGCUGAUGACCUUGCCUGAUUUUCCGAGAGGUGGUGCAUGGCCGCCGUCAGUUCGUACCGUAAGGCGUUCUGUUAAGUCAGAUAACGAACGAGACCCUCAUCCUUAAUUGCUACUGAUUACUUCGGUUGUCAGGCACAUUAGGGAGACCACUGGCGAUAAGUCAGAGGAAGGCGAGGGCAACGGUAGGUCAGUAUGCCCUGAAUCUUCCGGGCUACACGCGCGCUACAAAGGCCAGGACAAUGGGCUUCAACACCGAAAGGUGACGAUAAUCUCGAAACCUGGUCAUAGUUCGGAUUGAGGAUUGCAACUCAUCCUCAUGAAGCUGGAAUCCGUAGUAAUCGCGGAUCAACAUCCCGCGGUGAAUAUGCCCCUGCU